UGAAAUGAAGGCAUCAUGAGGUUGG
Molecule: non-coding RNA, 25 nt
Filed under: Mus musculus (house mouse)
Lineage: Eukaryota; Metazoa; Chordata; Mammalia; Rodentia; Muridae
Source: RNAcentral